CUGCGUAGCGCCGUACGGCAUCGGUGCACAACUGCGGACCGGUCGGCCAUUUAUUUCUAAACUUCACUCCUUCGUCGACGGUGCUACAACUGCUCCACUCAAGACGUAUGCAUCGUGUCCUUCACAUCACCUCUAAAACCCGACGGCGAUCUUUGCCCGUUCGGUACGCCAUCGGCCGGCACAACGUUAAUAGGUUGGUUCAAAUUUCGACGGCGAGAACUUGUUGAUUCGGUACCGGUGAGCGUGCACUAUACUUCAGUCUCAUCAUGAAGGCCGGAGCGGUGGACACUGACCACAUCAUCCAGGGCAAGGGCAAUGGCUGUCCAUCGUGCAGAGUGUCCGAGACUGUAACUUUGUUACUAGUUGCUGCUUAUUUUUACUUCGGCUGCAAGCACGUGAAACCCGUGUAUUACUUCGGAACCACGAGUAUGUAUACAACGAUAGGUACAUCGAAUCGCGGACAUUACGUCCCCGUCAAUUAUUAAGAUUAGACGUUUGGUCCACUGAGAUUUUAAAUCGCUAUUUUUUAUUUUUUUUUAUUCGGUUUUAUUUGUAAAACACAAAACGUUAGUAUAAUUUAUAAUAAUAAAAUAUUACAAUAAGAUAAUAUAUAAGUUAUCAACAAUUCGAUUUUCAACAGUCGAAUUUAAUUUAAAUAAUAUAAGUAAACUAUAUAGGUACGGAUAUAAUAAAUUUACCUUAGUACAAUACAAAUACAUUUAGGUAUAUACUUAAUUAUUUAUAUUUUAAUAUUUCAGUUAGUAAUGCAUAACACAAAAAAAUAGGUUUUUUUUAAUUGAAAAUAAUGUAUAAUUGUAAGAAAAAUGGUAUAAGUUUAACAUUUCUACUCACAUUAUUCAAUAAGUUAUGAGUAGGGCCCGGAAGUUGUUGCAUUUUAAUGUUGUUUUUUUUUAGCUAUUUGUAAGUAAGCAUGACAGUGGCGUGUAUCAUACAAAAAAUUGGUGUUGCUGAAAUAAUUUUAGGUGACCUACCCCUCACAAUACUGUUAUACCAACCUCUAAAUUUUCCUAUAAUUCUUCUAUCAAUACCUACCCACCCAUAUUAAUUAAGGUGUUGCCUGAGCAACGCUUGGACCCUUGUUACACGCCACUGAAGCAUGAUAUUAAUUUAUUU
Long non-coding RNA from Acyrthosiphon pisum (pea aphid), 1134 nucleotides. RefSeq lists it as uncharacterized. The record is from RefSeq and is a predicted model, not a curated record. The transcript is spliced from 2 exons. Lineage: Eukaryota; Metazoa; Arthropoda; Insecta; Hemiptera; Aphididae.